CAAGUACUCCUUUCGUCCCAUAUUAAGUGACUCAAAUUUGCCCAAAUAUUAAUGUAUCUAUACCUACAAAACGUCUAGAUACAUGUAAUAAAAAGUCACUUGAUAUGAGACGGAGGGAGUAAUAG
Molecule: non-coding RNA, 125 nt
Organism: Brachypodium distachyon (stiff brome)
Lineage: Eukaryota; Viridiplantae; Streptophyta; Magnoliopsida; Poales; Poaceae
Source: Rfam